This 183-nucleotide ribosomal RNA is filed under the name Curvibacter delicatus. RNAcentral describes it as "partial rRNA". It matches the Rfam family "Bacterial small subunit ribosomal RNA", at positions 345 to 521 of the family's 1533-position model. The record is from RNAcentral. Lineage: Bacteria; Pseudomonadati; Pseudomonadota; Betaproteobacteria; Burkholderiales; Comamonadaceae.
GAGGCAGCAGUGGGGAAUUUUGGACAAUGGGCGCAAGCCUGACCAGCAAUGCCGCGUGCAGGAUGAAGGCCUUCGGGUUGUAAACUGCUUUUGUACGGAACGAAAAGGCUCUCUCUAAUACAGAGAGCCGAUGACGGUACCGUAAGAAUAAGCACCGGCUAACUACGUGCCAGCAGCCGCGGU